RNAcentral lists this ribosomal RNA (465 nucleotides) under uncultured bacterium. Its description in RNAcentral is "partial 16S ribosomal RNA". It matches the Rfam family "Bacterial small subunit ribosomal RNA", at positions 338 to 795 of the family's 1533-position model. The record is from RNAcentral.
CCUACGGGAGGCAGCAGUAGGGAAUUUUCGUCAAUGGGCGCAAGCCUGAACGAGCGAUGCCGCGUGAGUGAAGAAGGCCUUCGGGUCGUAAAGCUCUGUUGCGGGGGAAAAAAGGCAGCAUCAGGCAAUGGUUGCUGACUGCUGCUGCCCCGCCAGCAAGUCACGGCUAACUACGUGCCGGCAGCCGCGGUAAUGCGUAGGGGGCGAGCGUUAGCCGGAUUGAUUGGGCGGAAAGGGUGCGCAGGCGGGCCUGCAAGUAGGGAGGGAAACGCAUGAGAUAAACUCAUGCAUGGCAUUGGAAACUGGAGGACUGGAGAGCAGGAGAGGGCGGUGGAACUCCAUGUGUAGCGGUAAAAUGCGUAGAUAUAUGGAAGAACACCAGUGGCGAAGGCGGCCGCCUGGCCUGUUGCUGACGCUGAGGCACGAAAGCGUGGGGAGCGAAUAGGAUUAGAUACCCUUGUAGUC